Molecule: ribosomal RNA, 491 nt
Filed under: Rhysida polyacantha
Lineage: Eukaryota; Metazoa; Arthropoda; Chilopoda; Scolopendromorpha; Scolopendridae
Description: partial 16S small subunit ribosomal RNA
Rfam family: Bacterial large subunit ribosomal RNA
Source: RNAcentral
GUCUUCUUGAAGUUAAUUAGAAGUCUGGCCUGCCCGAUGUGAUUAUCAAUGGCCGCGGUAUUUUGACCGUGCGAAGGUAGCAUAAUGAAUAGUCUAUUAAUUGUGGUCUGGAAUGAAAGGUUUGACGGGGAACAACUUUCUUAUGCUUAAGGGUGAACUUGAAUUAUUAGUGAAAAUGCUAAUGUGAAUUAGGGGGACGAGAAGACCCUAUAGAGCUUUAUACAAUCCUCUUAUUUUUGGUAGUGUGUUGGGUAGAUUGUAUUUUGUUGGGGUGACAUUGGGUAUUAAACAUCCAGUACUGAUUUCUGUUAUUGUAGGAUAAUGUGAUCCAUUAUUAAUGACAUAAGACUAAGUUACCUUAGGGAUAACAGCGUAAUUUCAUUUUAGAGUUCUUAUCGACAAUGAAGAUUGCGACCUCGAUGUUGGAUUAGGAUACCUGUUGAGACGCAGGAGUUUUACAAGGUAGUCUGUUCGACUAUUAAAUUCCUACA